RNAcentral lists this ribosomal RNA (776 nucleotides) under uncultured Neocallimastigales. RNAcentral's name for it is "partial large subunit ribosomal RNA". It matches the Rfam family "Eukaryotic large subunit ribosomal RNA", at positions 23 to 626 of the family's 3401-position model. The record is from RNAcentral. Lineage: Eukaryota; Fungi; Neocallimastigomycota; Neocallimastigomycetes; Neocallimastigales.
AGAGAGAGACAUGCGCGCAUAUCAAUAAGCGGAGGAAAAGAAACUAACAAGGAUUCCCUUAGUAACGGCGAGUGAAGCGGGAAGAGCUCAAAUUUGAAAUCUUCAAGGUUUUACCUUGACGAAUUGUAGUUUAAAGAAGUGUUUUCUGCUGAAGUUUUGGUAAAAGUUCUUUGGAAUAGGACAUCAUAGAGGGUGAGAAUCCCGUAUUUGACCAUUAUUUUCAGCUUUGUGAUACACUUUCAAAGAGUCGGAUUGUUUGGGAAUGCAGUCCAAAAUGGGUGGUAAACUUUCAUCUAAAGCUAAGUAUUGGCGAGAGACCGAUAGCGAACAAGUACCGUGAGGGAAAGAUGAAAAGAACUUUGAAAAGAGAGUUAAACAGUACGUGAAAUUGUCAAAAGGGAAGCGUUUGACACCAGUGUUGUUUUCUCGAAAAUCAAUUAAAAAUGGCUCGAUUUUGUAUUGCUUGAGACCUUAAAAGCUCACUGUACAUUUUUCGUGUCUUUUUUAAUGCACUUUUCGUUUAACAAGUCAACAUCAGUUUCUUUUGUUGUAAAAGGGUCAUUGGAAGGUGGCUUUCUUUUCGGAGAAAGUGUUUAUAGCCUUUGGCCUCUGCAAUCGGAGAGACUGAGGUCUGCAGCGUAGACUCUUCGGGGUUAGAUACAUUUGUGCUAAGUUAUAGCUUUUUAUAGACAACUUGUUGACUAUAAUUAGUCUUGUAGCUUACUCGCUUAUGCUAUUUUACCUACGCUUAGGAUGUUGAGUCGUAGAGCACGCAG